This 74-nucleotide transfer RNA is filed under the name Caldithrix sp. Its description in RNAcentral is "tRNA-Pro". It matches the Rfam family "tRNA". From Rfam's summary of the family: Transfer RNA (tRNA) molecules are approximately 80 nucleotides in length. Lineage: Bacteria; Pseudomonadati; Calditrichota; Calditrichia; Calditrichales; Calditrichaceae. The record is from RNAcentral.
CGGGGCGUAGCGCAGUCCGGUAGCGUAUCUGCUUUGGGAGCAGAGGGUCGCUGGUUCGAAUCCAGUCGCCCCGA